CCUACGGGUGGCAGCAGUGGGGAAUAUUGGACAAUGGGCGAAACCCUGAUCCAGCCACGCCGCGUGAGUGAUGAAGGAUUUCGGUGUGUUAAGCUCUAUCAGCAGGGAAGAAGAGGACGGUACCUGAUUAAGCAGCCCCGGCUCACUACGUGACAGCAGCCGCGGGAAUACGUAGGGGGCAAGCGUUAUCCGGAUUUAGUGGGUUUUAAGGGUGCGUAGGCGGAAUGCCAAGUCAGCGGUAAAAUCGCGGGGCUCAACCUAGCUCCGCCGUUGAAAAUGGCGUUCUUGAGUGGGCGAGAAGUACGCGGAAGGCGUGGUGUAGCGGUGAAAUGCAUAGAUAUCACGCAGAACUCCGAUUGCGAAGGCAGCGUACCGGCGCCCAACUGACGCUGAUGCACGAAAGCGUGGGUAUCGAACAGGAUUAGAUACCCGGGUAGUC
Molecule: ribosomal RNA, 439 nt
Filed under: uncultured bacterium
Lineage: Bacteria
Description: partial 16S ribosomal RNA
Rfam family: Bacterial small subunit ribosomal RNA
Source: RNAcentral